GACGAACGCUGGCGGCGUGCUUAACACAUGCAAGUCGAACGGAAAGGCCCUGCUUGCCGGGUACUCGAGUGGCGAACGGGUGAGUAACACGUGGGUGAUCUGCCCUGCACUUCGGGAUAAGCCUGGGAAACUGGGUCUAAUACCGGAUAGGAGCCAUUUUUAGUGUGAUGGUUGGAAAGUUUUUUCGGUGUAGGAUGAGCUCGCGGCCUAUCAGCUUGUUGGUGGGGUAAUGGCCUACCAAGGCGGCGACGGGUAGCCGGCCUGAGAGGGUGGACGGCCACAUUGGGACUGAGAUACGGCCCAGACGCCUACGGGAGGCAGCAGUGGGGAAUAUUGCACAAGGGGCGCAAGCCUGAUGCAGCGACGCCGCGUGGGGGAGGACGGCCUUCGGGUUGUAAACGCCUUUCGCUAGGGACGAAGCUUUUUGUGACGGUACCUAGAUAAGAAGCACCGGCUAACUACGUG
Molecule: ribosomal RNA, 465 nt
Filed under: uncultured bacterium
Lineage: Bacteria
Description: partial 16S ribosomal RNA
Rfam family: Bacterial small subunit ribosomal RNA
Source: RNAcentral